RNAcentral lists this ribosomal RNA (394 nucleotides) under uncultured bacterium. RNAcentral's name for it is "bacterial SSU rRNA". It matches the Rfam family "Bacterial small subunit ribosomal RNA", at positions 29 to 428 of the family's 1533-position model. The record is from RNAcentral.
AUUGAACGCUGGCGGCAUGCCUUACACAUGCAAGUCGAGCGGCAGCGCGGGGGCAACCCUGGCGGCGAGCGGCGAACGGGUGAGUAAUGCAUCGGAACGUGUCCUUUUGUGGGGGAUAACCAGUCGAAAGACUGGCUAAUACCGCAUGAGCUCGAGAGAGGAAAGCAGGGGACCGCAAGGCCUUGCGCGAGAGGAGCGGCCGAUGCCCGAUUAGCUAGUGGUGAGGUAACGGCUCACCAAGGCGACGAUCGGUAGCUGGUUUGAGAGAACGACCAGCCACACUGGGACUGAGACACGGCCCAGACUCCUACGGGAGGCAGCAGUGGGGAAUUUUGGACAAGUGGGGGCAACCUGAUCCAGCCAUGCCGCGUGUGUGAAGAAGGCCUGGUUGUAA